This 877-nucleotide small RNA is filed under the name Pan troglodytes (chimpanzee). Its description in RNAcentral is "processed transcript". The record is from RNAcentral. Lineage: Eukaryota; Metazoa; Chordata; Mammalia; Primates; Hominidae.
CCCAGCCCCAGAUAUCCACCAAUCUGUAGAAGUGCCUGUUGUGGACAUUUCAUAUAGGUGAACUCAUACAGUAUGUGAUUCUUUGUGUCUGGCUUCUUUCACUUAGCAUAAGUUUCCGAGGCUCAUCCACAUUGUAGCAUGUGUCAGAAUUUUAUUCCUUUUUUAUUGCUGAGAGUUUGUGUUUUUCCAAUAAAAUUACUUUAUCUUUUCCUUUUUUUUCCUUCUUCAGAAUCCCAAAAUUCUUCUCCUAGAUGAAGCAACCAGUGCGCUGGAUGCCGAAAAUGAGUACCUUGUUCAAGAAGCUCUAGAUCGACUGAUGGAUGGAAGAACGGUGUUAGUUAUUGCCCAUCGUCUGUCCACCAUUAAGAAUGCUAAUAUGGUUGCUGUUCUUGACCAAGGAAAAAUUACUGAAUAUGGAAAACAUGAAGAGCUGCUUUCAAAACCAAAUGGGAUAUACAGAAAACUAAUGAACAAACAAAGUUUUAUUUCAGCAUAAGGAAGCAAUUACUGGUAAACAAUAUGAGACUUUAAUGCAAAACAGUGUUGCAGAAAAAAAACUCAGAGACUAUGAAAUACAUAAACCAUUUAUCAAGUUAUUUGAAAAAUACCUAUUUUUUUCAAAGUGUGUAAAAGAUUGUUUUGAAACGUACCUGUUCUCAAGAUCUUUUUAUUCAGAGUUUUAAUAAUUGUAACUUUUUAAAUGUCUAUAGCACUGAAGUUAUUUUCAGGUUUUGUAUUUUCUUUUCUUGUGGAAUAUUUUAAUUAAUAUAGCAUGGCACCUCAUUUUGUUUUGCGUGCAGUUAAAGAUUGAAGCUAUUGUCAAAUGACAACUUUAAAAAGGCAAUUAUAAAUAAAAAGCCUGAUUAUUUUAGGCCAG